This 236-nucleotide long non-coding RNA is filed under the name Prunus persica (peach). RNAcentral's name for it is "long non-coding RNA (PPER_LNC003000)". Lineage: Eukaryota; Viridiplantae; Streptophyta; Magnoliopsida; Rosales; Rosaceae. The record is from RNAcentral.
ACCGUUACUGAUUUGUACCACUUUGCAAAACCUAAGUGAAGGUGUCGUAUAGCAGUGUAGCUCGGAAGUCCGAGUGUCGUAUCCACAGAGAGUGGUGUAAAGAAAAUAACAUAGUUAAAAAAGAACAAUUGCGAUUGAGAAGUAGAUUUAAGCAAGAUUUGAUUUAAAGAAAAUUUAAUUGAUUAAAACACUAAGGCAUUGGGGUUCCACUUUUAAAAUAAGCAUGCAUCUCUUAU